GUAAGUUAUUAAGGGCACACGGUGGAUGCCUUGGCAUUAAGAGCCGAUGAAGGACGUGUGAAUCUGCGAUAAGCCUCGGGGAGCCGAUAACUGGGCUGUGAUCCGAGGAUUUCCGAAUGGGGAAACCUGGCUCAUCUUCAUGGUGAGUUACCGCCAGCUGAAUGUAUAGGCUGGUUGGGGGGAACGCGGGGAAGUGAAACAUCUCAGUACCCGCAGGAAGAGAAAAUAAUAAUGAUUCUGUUAGUAGUGGCGAGCGAACGCGGAUGAGACUAAACCUGUGGUGUGUGAUAGCGGUUAGGUGUUGCAUCAUGGGUGUUGUGGGAGUUGUUGUGGUGGUUCUAACUGGUCACCGGCGUAGUGCAUGAUGGUAGGCGAACUGGCUUGGAAUGGUCGACCGUAGUGGGUGAGAGUCCCGUAGUUGAAAGUGUUGUGUGUGCGUUGACAAUGUCCCGAGUAGCACGGGGCUCGUGGAAUCUCGUGUGAAUCUGCCAGGACCACCUGGUAAGUCUAAAUACUUCUUAAUGACCGAUAGUGAAUCAGUACCGUGAGGGAAUGGUGAAAAGUACCCCGGGAGGGGAGUGAAAUAGUACCUGAAACCGUGUGCUUACAAGCCGUUGGAGCCUUUUGGGGUGACAGCGUGCCUUUUGAAGAAUGAGCCUGCGAGUUAGUGUUAUGUCGCGAGGUUAACCCGUGUGGGGUAUCCGUAGCGAAAGCGAGUCUGAAUAGGGCGUUUGAGUGGCAUGACCUAGACCCGAAGCGGAGUGAUCUAUCCAUGGCCAGGUUGAAGCGACGGUAAGACGUCGUGGAGGACCGAACCCACUUCAGUUGAAAAUGGAGGGGAUGAGCUGUGGAUAGGGGUGAAAGGCCAAUCAAACUCUGUGAUAGCUGGUUCUCCCCGAAAUGCAUUUAGGUGCAGCGUUACGUGUUUCUUGCCGGAGGUAGAGCUACUGGAUGGCCGAUGGGCCUUCACGGGUUACUGACGUCAGCUAAACUCCGAAUGCCGGUAAGUGAGAGCGUAGCAGUGAGACAGUGGGGGAUAAGCUUCAUUGUCGAGAGGGAAACAGCCCAGACCAUCAACUAAGGCCCCUAAGCGUGUGCUAAGUGGGAAAGGAUGUGGAGUUGCUGAGACAACCAGGAGGUUGGCUUAGAAGCAGCCAUCCUUGAAAGAGUGCGUAAUAGCUCACUGGUCAAGUGAUUCUGCGCCGAUAAUGUAGCGGGGCUCAAGUACACCGCCGAAGUUGUGGCAAUGACCCUUUGGGGUUGUUGGGUAGGGGAGCGUCGUGUAGCCAGUGAAGCUGCGGUGUAAACCAGUGGUGGAGGCUAUGCGAGUGAGAAUGCAGGCAUGAGUAGCGAAAGAUGAGUGAGAAACUCAUCCGCCGGAUGAUCAAGGGUUCCAGGGUCAAGUUAAUCUGCCCUGGGUUAGUCGGGGCCUAAGGCGAGGCCGACAGGCGUAGUCGAUGGAUAACGGGUUGAUAUUCCCGUACCGGUGAAAAACCGCCCAUACUGAUAUUGUGAUGCUAACCAUGCGAAGCAUGAUGUGCAGGCUUUUGUUUGUGUGUUGUGUGGGUUGUGGGACCCUAUCUUUGGAGGUAAACGUAUUAACAGGUGUGACGCAGGAAGGUAGCCAAGCCACGCGAUGGUUGUCGUGGUCUAAGCGUGUAGGGUUGUCGGUUGUUAAAUGCGCCGGCUGUGUGCCUGAGACGUGAUGGGACCCCGUUUUUGGGGGAUUUGGUGAUCCUAUGCUGCCGAGAAAAGCAUCGGCGUGAGGUUUUAGCCGCCCGUACCCUAAACCGACACAGGUGAUCAGGUAGAGAAUACUAAGGCGAUCGAGAGAAUCAUGGUUAAGGAACUCGGCAAAAUGCCCCCGUAACUUCGGGAGAAGGGGGGCCCUGAGCGUGAUCUGCCCGUGCGGUGGGGAGCGUGUAGGGGUCGCAGAGACCAGGGGGAAGCGACUGUUUAUCAAAAACACAGGUCCGUGCGAAGUCGUAAGACGAUGUAUACGGACUGACUCCUGCCCGGUGCUGGAAGGUUAAGAGGAUUGGUUAGCUCUUUUGGGCGAAGCUGAGAAUUUAAGCCCCAGUAAACGGCGGUGGUAACUAUAACCAUCCUAAGGUAGCGAAAUUCCUUGUCGGGUAAGUUCCGACCUGCACGAAUGGAGUAACGACUUCCCUACUGUCUCAACCAUGAACUCGGCGAAAUUGCAGUACGAGUAAAGAUGCUCGUUUCGCGCAGCAGGACGGAAAGACCCCGUGACCUUUACUAUAGUUUGGUAUUGGUGUUUGGGUUGGCUUGUGUAGGAUAGGUGGGAGACUGUGAAGCUGUCACGCUAGUGGUGGUGGAGUCGUUGUUG
RNAcentral lists this ribosomal RNA (2350 nucleotides) under human oral metagenome. RNAcentral's name for it is "bacterial LSU rRNA". It matches the Rfam family "Bacterial large subunit ribosomal RNA", at positions 1 to 2194 of the family's 2925-position model. The record is from RNAcentral.